AUUGUGAAGAAUUUAUUUUCCUACAUUUGGAAAAACUUUGCUAUUUGAUCAUCCUAAAAAUCACUUCAUGUUACUCCGCAAUUAUUCCCAAACAAGACUGCAAUGAUAAAAUGAUAGUAUUGCCCAAAAGAUAGAAUAGUGAAUACAUCAUCACUAUCACAUCAUCCCUCAGUUUCCAUUUAGUAUUCCCUAAAGUACUGUAUAUUAUCUUUCAAUAUGAUAGAUACAAGAAGUCUAGAGACGUAGGCUGAGAAUUCAGGAUUUUUCAUUUUCCACCCAUGACAAAAGAGAAGAAAAUGGAGAGAUCUUUCACACCUAAUACAAACAAAUCAGAAAAUGAACGCAGAGACACACAGUAGCACUCUAGCCUCUGAAGAUGGGGAAAUUGGUCACAGAAGCAAAAUCUUUCCUAGAUGAAUUUUCUUAAACUCAAGAAUUGGUAAGUGAAAGAAAAUGUGGCAUUUUAAGUCAUUCAGCAAAAAGGAUUCCAUUUGCACAAUAUUUUUUUGACAAAGACCUCUACCAUCCCGUUUUGUAUAAUAUUUUUUUAUUAAGAUGCCUAUACCCCCAGAUUUACUUAGUAUACUUUGUUAGUUUGUAAGUGAAGACAUGCUGAGACAGUUGUGUACUAAGGUGAAUGUAGGAAAAUAGAUGCUGUAUUUUAAAAAUUAAUUUGGUUAUUCAAAUUGAUCUUUAUAAAUCAAAAAUCAAAAAUAUUUUAAAAUUAUGGAGCAGAGACGCCUGGGUGGCUCAGCAGUUGAGCAUCUGCCUUCGGCUCAGGACAUGAUCCUGGAGUCCCGGGAUCAAGUCCCACAUCGGGCUUCCAGCAAGGAGCCUGCUUCUCCCUCUGUGUCUCUCAUGAAUAAAUAAAAUCUUUAAGAAAAUAAAAAAUAAAAUUAUGGAGGAAAGAAUAGGACUGUCCUCUCUUCAACAUUAUGAGCCAUCAAAAAUUUUUACAGUGCUCCAUUGUUGGAGCAGCCCCGGUGGCCCAGCACCACCUUCAGCCUGGGGUGUGAUCCCGGAGACCUGGGAUCGAGUGUCCCUUGUUGGGCUUCCUGCAUGGAGUCUGCUUCUCCCUCUGCCUAUGUCUCUGCCUCUCUCUCUGUAAAAAAAUAAUAAAGUAUUCCAUUGUUGACGAUGCAAGUGUAAAACUAGACAAAAAGCAAACCCCAGAAACAAUAAGCUAGAGCCUACUAGAGAUAUAUUUGAAAUCUGAGAUCAGUAGUUAUAAGAUGAAUACAUUCCAGCUUCACACAUGGUAGCUAAUGAGCAUUUAUCUGCAUUCAAGAGAUGGUGCUUUUUGGUAUAUAGGUCUUCCAGGCAAGGAAAAUAUGCAAGUGUUUACUGUUUCCUUACUAUUUUUUUUUAAGAUUUUAUUUAUUCAUGAGAGACAGAGAGGCAGAGACACAGGCAGAGGGAGAAGCAGGCUCCAUGAAGGAAGCCUGAUGUGGGACUCGGAGAUCAUGCCCUGAGCCAAAGGCAGACACUCAACCACUGAGCCACCUGGAUAUCCCUGUUUCAAUCCAUAUAUAUGUGUGUGUGUGUAUAUAUAUAUAGUAUAUAUUCAUGUAUAUACAGUACAUAUAUAUGUAUAUACAUACACAAAUUAUGUAUAUUAUAUAAACAUAUAUAUUAUACAUAAAUAUAUAUGUAUAUAUAUUUUCAUGAAUAUAUGAAUUGAGUUUUACUGAUAUAUAAUUCAGAUCCCAUAAAACCAACCCAUUUGAAGGGUAUAUAAUUCAAUGGUUUUUAGUAUAUUCAGAAUGGUGCUUUACUAGCUAAAACUUUAGUAUUUUUAAAUACCUGUAAAAUUUAUAAAAUGGUUUUCCACUUUCCCUUUAUUCUUACUUCUGGAAAUUAUCUAUAAAAUGACUUAAAAUAUAAAAGGGUGUCAUUGGACUAGAUGGUAAAUAGCAAUGGCUAUUUUUCCUGUUAUAUUGAGGGAAAACCAGUGAGCAAAGAUCCAUCACCUCUGGUCCCUGAAGGGAGAAGGGAAAGCAGCCCUAUUGCUGGGUCUGUGUUCGCCCUCUCCUCUCAGCAAUUUAGGAUCCAAAGGGUCUGGCUCCUCUGACUCUCCACACAAAGGACUGGCGGGAGCACGCUGAUCAUGGGGGCAAUCCCUGGCCAGCCAGUGAAGGUGGAGGGUGGGAUGAACCCAUCCCAGCAGUACUCCCCAUCAGCGGACAAAGGCCCAGCUGUGUCUAGCUGACUGAGCUGCUAAUACAACACAGGACUGAGCAGCAGAGGCCUGGUCUCAUUUGAAUCUCAGGGCCACUGUGGCUCUUUGUAAAAAUAAGGGCUUAGGGUCAAGUAAGUUGUUCCCAACCUCAGGAUUCAUGUUAUUUGCUCUCAAACCAGUUUGCAGGGAUCUUGAAAUAUUCUAAAUAUUUUCCAAGUCUAAGGGAAUUCAUACAUUCCCCUAAGAUGUAGGAUGUGGGUUAAAGUUGCUAUAAAAUGAAGUUAGUAAUGGAACUGGCCCGGAACAGGGAUGUUGAGAAUAAUGAAGUGUUUACAACAAGCUUGGGGCAUUUAACAAUUAAAUUCUCACCACGGUCAUGCUGCUUAUCAAGUUAUACAUGUAGUUUUAAUCAAUAGGGAAGUAGUUUGUUUCAUAAGGGAACAUCAAAAUCUCAUGUUCCUGAGGGAGAAAUAUGGUAAGAAAAACUAUCUUUUGAGGUUGAAAAUGCGGAUUCUCUCACUAGGUGGAUCAUGGCAUGAUAAAAGGCCAAAUUCAGGGAGCCUGGGUGGCUCAGUGGUUGAACAUCUGCCUUUGGCUCAGGUUGUGAUCCUGGGGUCCAGGGAUUGAGUCCUGCAUCAGGCUUCCUACAGGGAGCCUGCUUCUCUGCCUGUAUGCCUCUCUUGAAUGAAUAAAUAUAAAAAUCUGGAAGAAAAAAGAAAAAGCCAAAUUCACCACCUGUAAAAUAGGGCAGUGAGACCUGACCAGUGAUGCCCACUCCACAACAGUAGCAGAAAGCUGUUUCUAUGGUCAGGGCCCUUACAGUUGAGGAGAACCCAAUACCAUGAAGUUAAGCUAUUAAUGAGUCCCAAGAGGAAAUGCUUAAGUACUCAAUAGUAACAUUAACAUUUACAGAGGAUCAGAUACUGUGCUAUGAAAUCAUAGGCAGAUAAACAGCUCAGACAAUAAUACAGGUCCCCAAGUUUGUCCUAAGUUGCGAACCUGGUUUUAAACCCAGUCUGGGAUGCCUGGGUGGCUCAGGGUGUGAUCCUGGGUGUCCAGGAUUGAGUCCUGCAUUGGGCUCCUUGCAGGGAGCCUGCUUCUUCCUCUGCCUAUGUCUCUCAUGAAUAAAUAAAAUCUUUUUUAAAAAUACAAAAAAUAAACCAAGUCUGACUGGAAGGCCUGGGCUCUUAGCUGUUGCCUCCAACGGUAAUAUACUAGAUGAUAAACACUACAGACAGGUACUGAUAGAUCUUUAACUUCCAACAGCCCUGUUGAACUGGAGAUUCACCAUCAGUGGAUCAGUGCCGCUAUCACAUUUGAACCCAGGUCUGAUUGCAAAGCCAUUUCUCCCUACCACCAGUCUCCUUUUUAA
This 3551-nucleotide long non-coding RNA is filed under the name Canis lupus familiaris (dog). RNAcentral's name for it is "lncRNA (ENSCAFG00000051459.1, ENSCAFG00845011831.1)". Lineage: Eukaryota; Metazoa; Chordata; Mammalia; Carnivora; Canidae. The record is from RNAcentral.